Molecule: ribosomal RNA, 433 nt
Filed under: Escherichia coli
Lineage: Bacteria; Pseudomonadati; Pseudomonadota; Gammaproteobacteria; Enterobacterales; Enterobacteriaceae
Description: partial 23S ribosomal RNA
Rfam family: Bacterial large subunit ribosomal RNA
Source: RNAcentral
GGGACACGUGGUAUCCUGUCUGAAUAUGGGGGGACCAUCCUCCAAGGCUAAAUACUCCUGACUGACCGAUAGUGAACCAGUACCGUGAGGGAAAGGCGAAAAGAACCCCGGCGAGGGGAGUGAAAAAGAACCUGAAACCGUGUACGUACAAGCAGUGGGAGCACGCUUAGGCGUGUGACUGCGUACCUUUUGUAUAAUGGGUCAGCGACUUAUAUUCUGUAGCAAGGUUAACCGAAUAGGGGAGCCGAAGGGAAACCGAGUCUUAACUGGGCGUUAAGUUGCAGGGUAUAGACCCGAAACCCGGUGAUCUAGCCAUGGGCAGGUUGAAGGUUGGGUAACACUAACUGGAGGACCGAACCGACUAAUGUUGAAAAAUUAGCGGAUGACUUGUGGCUGGGGGUGAAAGGCCAAUCAAACCGGGAGAUAGCUGGUU